RNAcentral lists this transfer RNA (54 nucleotides) under Caligus rogercresseyi. Its description in RNAcentral is "tRNA-Ala". The record is from RNAcentral. Lineage: Eukaryota; Metazoa; Arthropoda; Copepoda; Siphonostomatoida; Caligidae.
UAGGGUUAAAGAUAUUAAACUUGCACUUUAGUUACGCCUCUUGGCUAACCUUGU